Molecule: long non-coding RNA, 738 nt
Organism: Cebus imitator (Panamanian white-faced capuchin)
Lineage: Eukaryota; Metazoa; Chordata; Mammalia; Primates; Cebidae
Exons: 3
Source: RefSeq, a predicted model, not a curated record
UGGCCCUCUUGAAGGAAAAUGCCGACCUGAAGGAGCGGGUGGAAAAACUAGAACUCGGACUCAUCCAGCUCUCUGGAGAGAGAGACAUGAUAAGAAAGUCCAUCAAACCAAAUGACCAUCAGACAGCAGUGGCCAAGACCCAGCACCAGAAGAAGAACAAUGUUAGCAUGCUGUCCGAGGCUGAGGAGGGGAUGAAGGUAUUUUGUCAUCUAUUUAAGAAAAAACUAAAAAGAAUGGAAAUCAUACGACAGUGACUUAAGUCUUUCUUCAAAGUGCAUGCAAGUCCUUUGCAGUACUUCAUUCAGCCAAGUAUUUGUUCUCUUCCUCAUUCAGUAGAAGGCAGCUUUCAAUUUGCUUAGAAGGCAACAUCAGAAGGUUAGCAUUCAUCAAAAACAUAGAAUUUUAUUUUCUUUUCAUAUUUGUGUAUGUUUAUUUUAGAUAACUGAAACUUCACAGAAUUUAACAACAAAUAAAGUUUAAAAAUUUAAUUCUGUACAUUAGCUCCGACUAUCUCUAUUUUACAAUCUAUAAGGCUCAUGCCAUAGUUCAGCACCAACAAGAUCCACACAAAACUGUUUAAGCAAUCUUCUUAGCCAUCCUGUGUGACAGUUUUUGUUUGUCGUGGUUGUUUUUAAGGUAAAAGUCCUACUUUCAGACCUUGAAGUGGAAUCCCUCUAGUCAGAGUACAAAACUUGGGUUGUACCUUCUUAUUUUCAUUAAACAGAUACAAAAAAAAAA